GGAGGGGUGCAAGCGUUAAUCGGAAUUACUGGGCGUAAAGCGCACGCAGGGCGGUUUGUUAAGUCAGAUGUGAAAUCCCCGGGGCUCAACCUGGGAACUGCAUCUGAUACUGGCAAGCUUGAGUCUCGCAGAGGGGGGUAGAAUUCCAGGUGUAGCGGUGAAAUGCGUAGAGAUCUGGAGGAAUACCGGUGGCGAAGGCGGCCCCCUGGACGAAGACUGACGCUCAGGUGCGAAAGCGUGGGGAGCAAACAGGAUUAGAUACCCUGGUAGUCCACGCCGUAAACGAUGUCGACUUGGAGGUUGUGCCCUUGAGGCGUGGCUUCCGGAGCUAACGCGUUAAGUCGACCGCCUGGGGAGUACGGCCGCAAGGUUA
This 373-nucleotide ribosomal RNA is filed under the name uncultured organism. RNAcentral's name for it is "partial 16S ribosomal RNA". It matches the Rfam family "Bacterial small subunit ribosomal RNA", at positions 526 to 896 of the family's 1533-position model. The record is from RNAcentral.